This 540-nucleotide long non-coding RNA is filed under the name Phoenix dactylifera (date palm). RNAcentral's name for it is "long non-coding RNA (PDAC_LNC022073)". Lineage: Eukaryota; Viridiplantae; Streptophyta; Magnoliopsida; Arecales; Arecaceae. The record is from RNAcentral.
GGUAAAGUGCUAGUUUACCAUAUACCAUACUCUAUUUUAAGUAUGUUUUUCUCUUCCCCUGAAAUGAGAUACCAGUGACUCCUGAAAAUACUGACAUACCGAGCAGAGUUGAAUUCACAAUGAAUAAAGCUACUGAAGAUGUUCUUUCUACCUGCAAUAUUAUUCUCCAUAAAUUUUGUUAAUACACCUUAAAUCUAAUGUUCUGUAGUUUAUUUGUGAACAAAAAAAAGAAUUGCACUUAAUUCGCUUAUCUUGUAAGUCUUGAUGUACAGAGAAUUUGCAAACCUGACCUGAAAAGGUAUGCCAAACAAACAAAAACUCCAACCCUACUCCAAAAAUAAAUAAAUAAAUAAAAGAACACGACAAAGAAGAAGGAGAAGGAGAAGAAGAAGCAGAGAGAGAGAGAGAGAUUAAACUCAAGAAAGCAUAUUAUAAGUUUUAGAUGCUUCCCAAUGAUAACAGGGAACAAAAUAAUGUUUAAACAAUUUUAUUGAACUACCAUGAGUAAUAAAAUGGCAGCAGUACGCUGGUCUUCUUCAU